CUCUUUUGUUUCUUUGGCUGGAACAUUAACCAAGGUCUGUAAUUUUUUCUUUAGGUUGAAUAGGAAAUAUGGAAAUAUGCUCUUUCUGGUGAUUUGGAGAAGUUGCAAAAAAUACAAAAGGAAAAAUGAUCACAUUAUUAAGGUUCAAAUGGAAUACUCUGGCUAUCAUUCACUGUUCAUGGUGAGUAUUGAACAGUAAAUUGAGUAUUCACCAUAAACAGGUACUGUUCCAAGUAGUUUACAUGGUUUAUUUCAUUUAAUUCUCACUACUCCAUGAAGUAGAUACUACUAAUUUCCCCAUUUGAUAGAAGAAGAAACUCAGUCUCAGGAAGGUUAAGUAAAAUAUCCAAGGUCUCAUAGCUAGUAAGUGCUAGAACCAAGAUUAGACUUGUAGCAGCCUGAUUUAAAACCUGCAUUAUUAAAGAAUAUUAUAGCAUGAAAAGUGCCUGCAAAUUCUCACUUAGAACUCUAAUGAAAAUAUGAUGGUUAUUUGUAGCUGUACCUCUAUCCCUCAAGUUCAGAAGGUCAUAGGACAACUACUUACUUGAAAGGGCAGAAGAGAGUCUAAUGUUAAUAAAAUUUAAAUUGGUUGAUAUUAUCAGUUUCUCUAAAUUGGGACAACUUGAAGCAGGAGUUCCAUUAGUUUGUCAAAGCAAUCUAAAAUUUUCAGAUACAUGAAACAUAAAUCUUUCUUGGGGUGGGGGUAGGAGUCUAGCCUAAGCCAGUCAAUGUUUCUUUUCUGUAUUACCAUGUGGCUGGAUACAACUAAAUUUUGUGAUAGCAAUGAUACCUUGAGAAAACGGGAAUGUAAAGAAAACUCAACCAUGUAAAAAACUCACCAUGUGAGUUAUUAUUUUAAACUUCUUUCCUUACCCAACCUGAUGAUUACCAGAACAGUUAAAAUGGACUAAUUCAAGUUUUCCCUUCUCUUUUCACUUGCAAAUGUGGGGAUGCUUAAGGAACAGUAUUAACUAUAAGCAGUAAAAAAAGGAAAUGGAAACUAUCCAAAUGAGCAUGGAUAAUCUGUAAACUACUAAGAGUUUCUUUCUUUAUAGUACAGGUUACUUAACACUUAUCUCUAUUUCUUUGCACAUAGGUAUACGUUUCUGCCAUUUAUAUUUGUAGAUUGUCUUUUCUAAUUUCCUUUUCCCUCCCUGAACUGCAGAUCCCUAAAGGAUAAAGGCAUAGCAUUGCCUAGACUACCAUGCUAUAUUUACUGCUUUGGCAUAUAUUCUGAGCCACAGGAUUUGCUAACUUGACACUUAACAUUUCAUAUCAUUUAUUUUUACCUAUUUAUUAUAUUGUUGCCAGUUGUCAUACAGUAUUCAGAAACAUAGUAAAGUUGAUACUAGGAAGUCAGCUGUUUUUACCUAGACUCCCCUAAAUCUUUUCACCAUUUGACUGACACUGAAAUAAUAUGCCUAUAUAAUUGCCUAAAUUAGAAAUCUAAAGAUUCAAGUAACUGCUUCACUCACUCCAAACUUAAUAGUUCCAGAUAAUUUGUUCUCUAUGGAAGAAGUCAAUUCUAACCUGAAAUUCUUUCAACAGCCUUGAAUAUAAGAAUACAGAUUGGGGGCAAGAUGGCGAAAGAGUAGGGUCCCCAAGUCACCUGUCCCGACCAAGUUACCUAGAUAAUUUUCAAAUCAUCUUGAAAACCUACGAAUUUGGCCUGAGAUUUAAAGAGAGAACAGCUGGAACGCUACAGAGAGAAGAGUUCGG
This 1719-nucleotide long non-coding RNA is filed under the name Canis lupus familiaris (dog). RNAcentral's name for it is "lncRNA (ENSCAFG00040012135.1)". The record is from RNAcentral. Lineage: Eukaryota; Metazoa; Chordata; Mammalia; Carnivora; Canidae.